This 93-nucleotide signal recognition particle RNA is filed under the name Treponema sp. RNAcentral describes it as "signal recognition particle sRNA small type". It matches the Rfam family "Bacterial small signal recognition particle RNA". From Rfam's summary of the family: The signal recognition particle (SRP) is a universally conserved ribonucleoprotein involved in the co-translational targeting of proteins to membranes. Archaeal SRP consists of a 7S RNA and homologues of the eukaryotic SRP19 and SRP54 proteins. Lineage: Bacteria; Pseudomonadati; Spirochaetota; Spirochaetia; Treponematales; Treponemataceae. The record is from RNAcentral.
CUGCCAGGUUCAUGCGAACGGUCGCCGCCCAACUCCGCCAGGUCCGGAAGGAAGCAACGGCAAGUGGAUGUCCGUGGCGCCGUGAUCCCCUGG